Molecule: ribosomal RNA, 495 nt
Filed under: uncultured bacterium
Lineage: Bacteria
Description: partial 16S ribosomal RNA
Rfam family: Bacterial small subunit ribosomal RNA
Source: RNAcentral
UGAACGCUGGCGGCGUGCCUAAUACAUGCAAGUCGAGCGAACGGACGAGAAGCUUGCUUUUCUGAUGUUAGCGGCGGACGGGUGAGUAACACGUGGAUAACCUACCUAUAAGACUGGGAUAACUUCGGGAAACCGGAGCUAAUACCGGAUAAUAUUUUGAACCGCAUGGUUCAUAAGUGAAAGACGGUCUUGCUGUCACUUAUAGAUGGAUCCGCGCUGCAUUAGCUAGUUGGUAAGGUAACGGCUUACCAAGGCAACGAUGCAUAGCCGACCUGAGAGGGUGAUCGGCCACACUGGAACUGAGACACGGUCCAGACUCCUACGGGAGGCAGCAGUAGGGAAUCUUCCGCAAAGGGCGAAAGCCUGACGGAGCAACGCCGCGUGAGUGAUGAAGGUCUUCGGAUCGUAAAACUCUGUUAUUAGGGAAGAACAUAUGUGUAAGUAACUGUGCACAUCUUGACGGUACCUAAUCAGAAAGCCACGGCUAACUACGUG